CCGCACUCAGCAGCGACGAGGAGCUGGCCCGGGAGGAAGGUUUUUCAGCUUGCUAGAAGAGUGUGAGGGCAGCGCUGAAUCCUGCCCUAGUAUCUGGCUUUACUGAUGACUUCUGAAUGCUAUGACAGUGACUUAAAUUUAACAUCCAAGCCAUUCUCAGACAUCUUCCUCCUGCUGCCUGCGCUCCUGACAGUGCCACCUUGCUCACCAGCCAGGAGGUGACAGAUGUCUCGUCUUUAUGUCUAAUACCUCCCACUUGCUGACUGAAUUAAACCUCUUUGUUCCUGAGUUCAGCUGACUGAAGGACAGAAGGAGGUGACAGCCUUUUCAGCGUGUACAAUGGAUGAGGAAGAAGAAGAUGGAAAUGGAAAAGCUUGUGAAAUAAUACCACAUUUAACUGAUGUGAUUGGUGUUGCCCAAAAAUGCCUUGAUUGCUGUGCUGAGUGUGUGCCAGUGCAACUGCCUCAAGACUUACUAGUUGGGAAUCAGUAAGGAGCUGGCUGUUGGUGCAGUUCCAGUCUCUUAGCAAGGCUUUAUCACAGUGCCUUGUGUGAGCUCAACAUUAUGCACUUAAUGGAGGUGAUGCUAGGGAAGUGGGCCUGAGCAUGAUGCUGGGAAUCACCCUUAAGUGGUCCUUCUAAGCUUCUACCUCUUAGAAGUUUCUUGAGAUUUGGAAAGUUUAUUUCCUUGCCUUUUAAAUUUUUAUGGGGAACAUCAGUAUCUUUGAUUAGUGAUAAUAAAUGUUUUAUAAAAUAAAUGAAAACUCUGAAAGUUAAAAAAUUUGGUUUUAGUUUAAACUGCAAAGUUGUUAGCAUAGAAUUUCUGGAUAGCUGAAACCUCACACAAAACUCCCAUCUUUUUCUUUAAAAUCUCCAGUACUCCUUAUAUUCUGUUAACAACACUUCACAGUUGUAAAGAAAUCCCUGAAUCAGGAAUUCCUUGUUAGUGUUCCAGUAGGGUCCUCCUUUCAGUACUAUGCAGAACAACAAGUUGUCAAUUGCAUAUUUGAUGUUGUUGUAUUCUAAGUCCUAAAGAUGCCUUUUAAUGUGGCAAUGUCCUUUGUUUUUGUGUGUGUUCUGUGGUGGUUUCCAAAAUCCUUAGAAUUCUGUCUGUAAAAAAAAAAAAAAAAUUAAAAUAUUGGUGUUACUGGUUAUGUCUUCCAAAUGGCUACAGAUUUUCUGCAACCUAUAAUUGAGUUUUGGAAGGGAGUUUUGUUUUGUUUUGCUUUGUUUUAAUUAGCAUAAAUACAUGACAUUAAUUUCUUAAGUUUAAAAAAAAGAACAUAUAUAUCCUUAUGUCAAAUUCUCCACAACCUUCUCCUGUGCUCCUGUCUUUCUUUAGUGACUCAUCCUCAUGUCAGCAAAUUCUUUUCUGAAGACCUCUCUGAAACAGAGAGGUUUUGGCUGAAGAAAUAAUUAUCUGGGAGUUUCACAGCAAGAGCAUUGGAUCCUUUUGUGCUGUGUUUAGCUGCACAGAUGUCUGGGGAAGUGCUAACUGCCAGGGUGGGGCUUUGACUUGUAUCAUACAUUUUCUUACAAAUCAUGGCUAUAGAUAUGACCUGCUUGCAAGUAAUUUCUGAAGAAUAAGCCCUAAAGUGAUGGAAAUAGUAAAGAAUAGAAAUAAAAUAUGAAAGUUGUGCUAUUUCCCCCUGCAGAGGAUCUUUUUCCUUUGGCCUGAUCCAUCAGUUACUGAAGUCUGUGGAGAAACUCCCUAGGGAUUUGAACAUAUGAUCACAGAUACUUAUAAACCAAAAACUUUGCAGUUUGGGUCUGCUGCAAUUUUUGUGUUCAGUAAUCUUGAUUAUAUCUUGUGUUCUUCAAUGCUGAUGGUGCAUGGAAUAUCAGUAUUGAAAAUAAUUUGUAAACUGUUAAGCCGUGCUUGCUAAUGUAAUGAUAUAACACAGAAACGUGUCUUGGCAUAAGCUGUAUGUGGGGUUAUCAGAGUCUCGUAGCCAUGAGCACAGAGGAGCAGUGACUUGAGGGGAAACUCCAGUGGCCAAGUCACUGGGUAAGCAUGAGGGAAAUGCCCUGCUCUGCAUAUUGGACUGUCAAAGGAGAAGGACGAGCCUUGGGACCAAGUGUGAAAUUCACCAGACAAGUUAAUGGAAGAAGCUGGCUGGAUCAUUACCCUGAGAGGGACGUUCAAGUCAUUAUGGGGUGCAAGGACAGAGAUUCUUGGGAUUGUGCAAGGCUUAUUAUAAAAUGUUUAGGAGAAAGACCAAGGUGGGUAGAAGGAGGACCAAGGUAAUUUGAGAAGGGACAAAGACAAGAAGAUGGGGAAGAGAAGACAGCAAGGGCCAGUUGCAAGGUUGCUGGUAAGUAGUUUAAUGUGGUCUGCUGCUUUUCCAGCCUUGUCACUGAACUCUGUCGGUAAAUUUGUGGAUGAGGGUCUGUCUGUUCUGUGUGGGUAGAUAAGUAAGUGCCAGUGGCUGGAGAGGACACCAGGAUUUACAGGGGCUCUUGCUUGUUAUACCAGCAGCUAGAAAGACAAAUGUGAAGGUCUGAGUGCCAGCAGCUGGACAGGUGGCCAUAAGUAUGUCAUAGGUGUCUGUGUGUCUGAAGUGACAGCAACUGGAAAGACUGGAGCGGGUGCAUAUUGUGUGGGUGUGUCCAUCAAUGUGUGUAAUUAAUUACUAAUGAACAUUAAGGUGGAGGUCCAAGCCAGCUGUUGGAAGGACCCCUGGAAUUAGGGGAUGAGGCUGUGGGAGAGCCUGUUUGUACGUGAGGCAAGUGUCAGGCCAGGGGAUUCAGAAGCUAGGUACAGAUUGACUAAGCCCAGAGGGAGCCACAGGGUGUGUGUCAGUGUGUGCAAGUGUGCACAUGCUCCAGGGGAUCUGGGAGCCAGAAGUCUGUGUGGCUACAUGCCUCAGGGGCUUUUUUGCCCAGGUGCCAGCAACUGGAGACACCAGAAGAUCAGGCAGCCAGUAACUAGACAGAUGGAGUGUCUAAGAGCAGCUGCUGGAGGGAUCUGUACUAUAUCCAUCUAUGGAUUCCUUGCAUAUAUAGGCUUUCAUCCUAAUCAGCCAGAUGGGGAAACAGGAUGUGGGUGCUGGUACUGAUGGUGAUUUCAUGAGGGCUGUGUUUUGGUCUGUGUAUCUGACUGGCUCUGUGUGGGUACAAGUGCUUCUCCACCUUUUUUUGAAAAAACUAACUCAGCCUCACUGCUGUGGAAACCAGAGCAGCAACAGCCUGGCCUCUAAUGGGUAGUUGUUGUUGAUUUGGUAUUGUGGAGGCAUUAGAUCUCAGAUGCAGAAAGGCUGAGUUUUCAGGAAAAGAAUGUGAGCAGCAGCAAAGUAUACUAGAAAAUAAUAUGGAGAAAAUUAGUAAGAAAAACAAAGAUAUAAACACUCCAGAGAAACCUAUUUAGAAUUGCAGAAAAAUGUGCUUUGUUAUAUAGCAAGGUUAUAUAUACACUGUACAAUAAUAUGCAAUAACUUUAUACAUUCUUGUGGGUGCUAUUGACUGAAAGAUGCUGAAAGAAGAGAGUAACAGCACUUAUUCAUGCAUGGCAUGCUUUUCAGUAGCAUAAGUUAUUAUGUAUCUUCAUAGGAGGCUUUACUGCAUAAUUAAAAGAUAUCCCAGGCUG
Molecule: non-coding RNA, 3585 nt
Organism: Lonchura striata (white-rumped munia)
Lineage: Eukaryota; Metazoa; Chordata; Aves; Passeriformes; Estrildidae
Source: RefSeq, a predicted model, not a curated record